AGAGUUUGAUCCUGGCUCAGGACGAACGCUGGCGGCGUGCCUAAUACAUGCAAGUCGAGCGAACCAAUGGGAGCUUGCUCCCUGAGGUUAGCGGCGGACGGGUGAGUAACACGUGGGUAACCUGCCUGUAAGAUUGGGAUAACUCCGGGAAACCGGAGCUAAUACCGGAUAAUAUUUUGAACCGCAUGGUUCAAAAUUGAAAGACGGCUUCGGCUGUCACUUACAGAUGGACCCGCGGCGCAUUAGCUAGUUGGUGAGGUAACGGCUCACCAAGGCGACGAUGCGUAGCCGACCUGAGAGGGUGAUCGGCCACACUGGGACUGAGACACGGCCCAGACUCCUACGGGAGGCAGCAGUAGGGAAUCUUCCGCAAUGGACGAAAGUCUGACGGAGCAACGCCGCGUGAACGAUGAAGGCCUUCGGGUCGUAAAGUUCUGUUGUUAGGGAAGAACAAGUACCAGAGUAACUGCUGGUACCUUGACGGUACCUAACCAGAAAGCCACGGCUAACUACGUGCCAGCAGCCGCGGUAAUACGUAGGUGGCAAGCGUUGUCCGGAAUUAUUGGGCGUAAAGCGCGCGCAGGCGGUUUCUUAAGUCUGAUGUGAAAGCCCACGGCUCAACCGUGGAGGGUCAUUGGAAACUGGGAAACUUGAGUGCAGAAGAGGAGAGUGGAAUUCCACGUGUAGCGGUGAAAUGCGUAGAGAUGUGGAGGAACACCAGUGGCGAAGGCGACUCUCUGGUCUG
This 745-nucleotide ribosomal RNA is filed under the name uncultured bacterium. RNAcentral's name for it is "bacterial SSU rRNA". It matches the Rfam family "Bacterial small subunit ribosomal RNA", at positions 8 to 736 of the family's 1533-position model. The record is from RNAcentral.